GGAGGGGGCAAGCGUUGUUCGGAAUUACUGGGCGUAAAGGGCGCGUAGGCGGAAGAUCAAGUCAGGGGUGAAAGGCCUGGGCUCAACCCGGGAACUGCCUUUGAAACUGGUUUUCUAGAGUACGGGAGAGGAUGGCGGAAUUCCCAGUGUAGAGGUGAAAUUCGUAGAUAUUGGGAAGAACACCGGUGGCGAGGGCGGCCAUCUGGCCCGGUACUGACGCUAAGGCGCGAAAGCGUGGGGAGCAAACAGGAUUAGAUACCCUGGUAGUCCACGCCGUAAACGAUGUGUGCUAGCCGUUGGGGCCUCAGGUCUCAGUGGCGCAGCUAACGCGUUAAGCACACCGCCUGGGGAGUACGGCCGCAAGGUUAA
This 369-nucleotide ribosomal RNA is filed under the name uncultured organism. Its description in RNAcentral is "partial 16S ribosomal RNA". It matches the Rfam family "Bacterial small subunit ribosomal RNA", at positions 527 to 897 of the family's 1533-position model. The record is from RNAcentral.